UACAGAGGUCCCAAGCGUUGUUCGGAUUCAUUGGGCGUAAAGGGUGCGUAGGUGGCGGGGUAAGUUGGAUGUGAAAUCUCGGGGCUCAACCCCGAAACUGCAUUCAAUACUGCCCUGCUCGAGUACUGGAGAGGAGAUCGGAAUUUACGGUGUAGCAGUGAAAUGCGUAGAUAUCGUAAGGAAGACCAGUGGCGAAGGCGGAUCUCUGGACAGUUACUGACACUGAGGCACGAAGGCCAGGGGAGCAAACGGG
This 253-nucleotide ribosomal RNA is filed under the name uncultured bacterium. RNAcentral's name for it is "partial 16S ribosomal RNA". It matches the Rfam family "Bacterial small subunit ribosomal RNA", at positions 524 to 776 of the family's 1533-position model. The record is from RNAcentral.